AGGUGUGUAGCUCAGUGGUAGAGCACGUGCUUAGCAUGCAUGAGGUCCUGGGUUCAAUCCCCAUUACCUCCA
This 72-nucleotide transfer RNA is filed under the name Camelus ferus (Wild Bactrian camel). It matches the Rfam family "tRNA". From Rfam's summary of the family: Transfer RNA (tRNA) molecules are approximately 80 nucleotides in length. Their secondary structure includes four short double-helical elements and three loops (D, anti-codon, and T loops). Lineage: Eukaryota; Metazoa; Chordata; Mammalia; Artiodactyla; Camelidae. The record is from Rfam by way of RNAcentral.